This 500-nucleotide ribosomal RNA is filed under the name uncultured bacterium. RNAcentral's name for it is "partial 16S ribosomal RNA". It matches the Rfam family "Bacterial small subunit ribosomal RNA", at positions 355 to 846 of the family's 1533-position model. The record is from RNAcentral.
UAGGGAACCUUCCACAAUGGACGAAAGUCUGAUGGAGCAACGCCGCGUGAGUGAUGAAGGGUUUCGGCUCGUAAAACUCUGUUGUUGGAGAAGAACGGGUGUCAGAGUAACUGUUGACAUCGUGACGGUAUCCAACCAGAAAGCCACGGCUAACUACGUGCCAGCAGCCGCGGUAAUACGUAGGUGGCAAGCGUUGUCCGGAUUUAUUGGGCGUAAAGCGAGCGCAGGCGGUUUUUUAGGUCUGAUGUGAAAGCCUUCGGCUUAACCGGAGAAGUGCAUCGGAAACCGGGAGACUUGAGUGCAGAAGAGGACAGUGGAACUCCAUGUGUAGCGGUGAAAUGCGUAGAUAUAUGGAAGAACACCAGCGGCGAAGGCGGCUGUCUGGUCUGCAACUGACGCUGAGGCUCGAAAGCAUGGGUAGCGAACAGGAUUAGAUACCCUGGUAGUCCAUGCCGUAAACGAUGAGUGCUAAGUGUUGGAGGGUUUCCGCCCUUCAGUGC